This 479-nucleotide ribosomal RNA is filed under the name uncultured bacterium. RNAcentral describes it as "bacterial SSU rRNA". It matches the Rfam family "Bacterial small subunit ribosomal RNA", at positions 28 to 507 of the family's 1533-position model. The record is from RNAcentral.
GAUGAACGCUAGCGGGAGGCUUAACACAUGCAAGUCGAGGGGUAAAAGGUAGCAAUACUUUGAGACCGGCGGACGGGUGCGUAACGCGUAUGCAACUUACCUUGUGCAGGGAGAUAGCCCGGGGAAACCCGGAUUAAUAUUCCAUAAAUCAUAUUGGCUGCAUGGUUGAUAUGUAAAAGUUAAGGCGGCACAAGAUAGGCAUGCGUCUGAUUAGCUGGUUGGUAGGGUAACGGCCUACCAAGGCGACGAUCAGUAGGGGUUCUGAGAGGAUUAACCCCCACACUGGUACUGAGACACGGACCAGACUCCUACGGGAGGCAGCAGUGAGGAAUAUUGGUCAAUGGGCGACAGCCUGAACCAGCCAUUCCGCGUGAAGGAAGAAGGCCCUACGGGUUGUAAACUUCUUUUCUGUAAGAAGAAAAAACUUAACGAGUUGAGGUAUGACGGUAUUACAGGAAUAAGCAUCGGCUAACUCCGUG